AAAUAAUAUUUCUCUUAAAUCUAUAAUUGGUUUAAUUUUAGCCAUCUAUUUAUUAAUAAUUUAGUUAACUUAUAUAAUUAAAUAAAAAUUCUAUUUUAGGUUAAAAUAUUAAAUAUUUUAAAAUAAGAUUUAGCUCAAAUUUUAAGAUCAAGUAAAAAUAGUGCCAGCAACUGCGGUUAUACUAUAUAAUCAAAAUAAAGUUAAUUUUAAACAAAGCUUUGAAAGGAAUUAAUUUUAAUUAAGUGAAAUUAAAUAGAUCACUCUCUUUCUAAUUUAAAACCUUAAACUUAAAUAAAAAACUAGGAUUAGAUACCCUAUUAUCUACAUUCCAAUAAUUGAGUAGUAUCAGAAAUCUUGAAACUCAAAAAAUUUGGCGGUGUUUAAAUCUAUUCAGGGGAACCUGUUCCAUAAUCGAUAUUACACGAAAAUCUUAUCUUCUUGCAGUUUGUAUAUCGCCGUAGUAAUUAUAUUUAAAAUUAAUGAUUAAUAAAUAUUUUAUUUCAAACUUCAGGUCAAGGUUCAGCUAAUGAGAAGAUUGAGAAUGGGUUACAAUAUUUCAAAAUAAUACGAAAUUUUUACAUAAAACAAAAAGGAAGGUGGAUUUGAAAGUAAUUUUUAAAUAAUAAAUUAAAAUGAAUUAGCUCUAAAAUAUGCACAUAUCGCCCGUCACUCUCUUAAAAUAGAGAAAAGUCGUAACAUAGUAGGAGUACUGGAAAGUGUUCCUAGAA
This 728-nucleotide non-coding RNA is filed under the name Tityus serrulatus (Brazilian scorpion). The record is from RNAcentral. Lineage: Eukaryota; Metazoa; Arthropoda; Arachnida; Scorpiones; Buthidae.